Molecule: ribosomal RNA, 446 nt
Filed under: Lachnospiraceae bacterium oral taxon 107
Lineage: Bacteria; Bacillati; Bacillota; Clostridia; Lachnospirales; Lachnospiraceae
Description: bacterial SSU rRNA
Rfam family: Bacterial small subunit ribosomal RNA
Source: RNAcentral
GAUGAACGCUGGCGGCGUGCUUAACACAUGCAAGUCGAACGAAGCUGCUUAAAGGAAGUUUUCGGAUGGAAUUUAGGUAGACUUAGUGGCGGACGGGUGAGUAACGCGUGGAUAACCUGCCUUAUACAGGGGGAUAACGGAGAGAAAUUUCCGCUAACACCGCAUAAGACCACAGCACCGCAUGGUGCAGGGGUAAAAUAUUUAUAGGUAUAAGAUGGAUCCGCGUCCGAUUAGCUGGUUGGUGAGGUAGAGGCUCACCAAGGCGACGAUCGGUAGCCGGCCUGAGAGGGUGAACGGCCACAUUGGGACUGAGACACGGCCCAAGCUCCUACGGGAGGCAGCAGUGGGGAAUAUUGGACAAUGGGGGAAACCCUGAUCCAGCGACGCCGCGUGAGUGAAGAAGUAUUUCGGUAUGUAAAGCUCUAUCAGCAGGGAAGAAAAUGACG